Molecule: transfer RNA, 66 nt
Filed under: Curvipennis wixiensis
Lineage: Eukaryota; Metazoa; Arthropoda; Insecta; Orthoptera; Acrididae
Description: tRNA-Ile
Source: RNAcentral
AAUGAAGUGCCUGAUAAAAGGGCUACCUUGAUAGGGUAAAUUAAGUAGCUAAACCUACCUUCAUUA